UACGUAGGGGGCAAGCGUUAUCCGGAUUUACUGGGUGUAAAGGGAGCGUAGACGGCAGAGCAAGUCCGGAGUGAAAGCCCGGGGCCCAACCCCGGGACUGCUCUGGAAACUGUUAAGCUGGAGUGCGGGAGGGGCAGGCGGAAUUCCUGGUGUAGCGGUGAAAUGCGUAGAUAUCAGGAGGAACACUGGCGGCGAAGGCGGCCUGCUGGACCGUGACUGACGUUGAGGCUCGAAAGCGUGGGGAGCAAACAGG
RNAcentral lists this ribosomal RNA (253 nucleotides) under uncultured bacterium. RNAcentral's name for it is "partial 16S ribosomal RNA". It matches the Rfam family "Bacterial small subunit ribosomal RNA", at positions 524 to 776 of the family's 1533-position model. The record is from RNAcentral.